This 448-nucleotide ribosomal RNA is filed under the name uncultured organism. RNAcentral's name for it is "partial 16S ribosomal RNA". It matches the Rfam family "Bacterial small subunit ribosomal RNA", at positions 335 to 799 of the family's 1533-position model. The record is from RNAcentral.
ACUCCUACGGGAGCCAGCAGUGGGGAAUAUUGGACACUGGGCGCAAGCCUGAUCCAGCCAUGCCGCGUGAGUGAUGAAGGCCCUAGGGUUGUAAAGCUCUUUCACCGGUGAAGAUAAUGACGGUAACCGGAGAAGAAGCCCCGGCUAACUUCGUGCCAGCAGCCGCGGUAAUACGAAGGGGGCUAGCGUUGUUCGGAUUUACUGGGCGUAAAGCGCACGUAGGCGGACUAUUAAGUCAGGGGUGAAAUCCCGGGGCUCAACCCCGGAACUGCCUUUGAUACUGGUAGUCUUGAGUUCGAGAGAGGUGAGUGGAAUUCCGAGUGUAGAGGUGAAAUUCGUAGAUAUUCGGAGGAACACCAGUGGCGAAGGCGGCUCACUGGCUCGAUACUGACGCUGAGGUGCGAAAGCGUGGGGAGCAAACAGGAUUAGAAACCCCAGUAGUCCCAUG